GAGGGUAUAGCUCAAGUGGUAGAGCGCAUGCUUAGCAUGCAUGAGGUCCUGGGUUCAAUCCCUAGUACCUCUU
This 73-nucleotide transfer RNA is filed under the name Camelus bactrianus (Bactrian camel). It matches the Rfam family "tRNA". From Rfam's summary of the family: Transfer RNA (tRNA) molecules are approximately 80 nucleotides in length. Their secondary structure includes four short double-helical elements and three loops (D, anti-codon, and T loops). Further hydrogen bonds mediate the characteristic L-shaped molecular structure. tRNAs have two regions of fundamental functional importance: the anti-codon, which is responsible for specific mRNA codon recognition, and the 3' end, to which the tRNAs corresponding amino acid is attached (by aminoacyl-tRNA synthetases). tRNAs cope with the degeneracy of the genetic code in two manners: having more than one tRNA (with a specific anti-codon) for a particular amino acid; and 'wobble' base-pairing, i.e. permitting non-standard base-pairing at the 3rd anti-codon position. The record is from Rfam by way of RNAcentral. Lineage: Eukaryota; Metazoa; Chordata; Mammalia; Artiodactyla; Camelidae. RNAcentral also lists the same sequence under 2 other names.